UGUUUGUUGAGGGACGAUUUGGAACCAAUGAGGACUACCUCAGUUUUGUCACAGUUGAGUUUAAGGAAGUUUGAGGUGAACCAGGAUUUAAUUUCUUGAAGGCACGCACAGAGGGAGGAGGUGUUUGUAAGUUAUUUUAC
Long non-coding RNA from Syngnathus acus (greater pipefish), 140 nucleotides. RefSeq lists it as uncharacterized. NCBI's taxonomy places the organism in Eukaryota, Metazoa, Chordata, Actinopteri, Syngnathiformes, Syngnathidae. The record is from RefSeq and is a predicted model, not a curated record. The transcript has 3 exons.